RNAcentral lists this ribosomal RNA (1352 nucleotides) under uncultured bacterium. RNAcentral describes it as "bacterial SSU rRNA". It matches the Rfam family "Bacterial small subunit ribosomal RNA", at positions 28 to 1381 of the family's 1533-position model. The record is from RNAcentral.
AUUGAACGCUGGCGGCAUGCCUUACACAUGCAAGUCGAACGGCAGCACGGAGCUUGCUCUGGUGGCGAGUGGCGAACGGGUGAGUAAUAUAUCGGAACGUACCCUAGAGUGGGGGAUAACGUAGCGAAAGUUACGCUAAUACCGCAUACGGUCUAAGGAUGAAAGUGGGGGAUCGCAAGACCUCAUGCUCGUGGAGCGGCCGAUAUCUGAUUAGCUAGUUGGUAGGGUAAAAGCCUACCAAGGCAUCGAUCAGUAGCUGGUCUGAGAGGACGACCAGCCACACUGGAACUGAGACACGGUCCAGACUCCUACGGGAGGCAGCAGUGGGGAAUUUUGGACAAUGGGCGAAAGCCUGAUCCAGCAAUGCCGCGUGAGUGAAGAAGGCCUUCGGGUUGUAAAGCUCUUUUGUCAGGGAAGAAACGGUGAGAGCUAAUAUCUCUUGCUAAUGACGGUACCUGAAGAAUAAGCACCGGCUAACUACGUGCCAGCAGCCGCGGUAAUAAGUAGGGUGCAAGCGUUAAUCGGAAUUACUGGGCGUAAAGCGUGCGCAGGCGGUUUUGUAAGUCUGAUGUGAAAUCCCCGGGCUCAACCUGGGAAUUGCAUUGGAGACUGCAAGGCUAGAAUCUGGCAGAGGGGGGUAGAAUUCCACGUGUAGCAGUGAAAUGCGUAGAUAUGUGGAGGAACACCGAUGGCGAAGGCAGCCCCCUGGGUCAAGAUUGACGCUCAUGCACGAAAGCGUGGGGAGCAAACAGGAUUAGAUACCCUGGUAGUCCACGCCCUAAACGAUGUCUACUAGUUGUCGGGUCUUAAUUGACUUGGUAACGCAGCUAACGCGUGAAGUAGACCGCCUGGGGAGUACGGUCGCAAGAUUAAAACUCAAAGGAAUUGACGGGGACCCGCACAAGCGGUGGAUGAUGUGGAUUAAUUCGAUGCAACGCGAAAAACCUUACCUACCCUUGACAUGGCUGGAAUCCUUGAGAGAUCAGGGAGUGCUCGAAAGAGAACCAGUACACAGGUGCUGCAUGGCUGUCGUCAGCUCGUGUCAUGAGAUGUUGGGUUAAGUCCCGCAACGAGCGCAACCCUUGUCAUUAGUUGCUACGAAAGGGCACUCUAAUGAGACUGCCGGUGACAAACCGGAGGAAGGUGGGGAUGACGUCGAGUCCUCAUGGCCCUUAUGGGUAGGGCUUCACACGUCAUACAAUGGUACAUACAGAGCGCCGCCAACCCGCGAGGGGGAGCUAAUCGCAGAAAGUGUAUCGUAGUCCGGAUUGUAGUCUGCAACUCGACUGCAUGAAGUUGGAAUCGCUAGUAAUCGCGGAUCAGCAUGUCGCGGUGAAUACGUUCCCGGGUCU